RNAcentral lists this ribosomal RNA (274 nucleotides) under uncultured bacterium. Its description in RNAcentral is "partial 16S ribosomal RNA". It matches the Rfam family "Bacterial small subunit ribosomal RNA", at positions 523 to 796 of the family's 1533-position model. The record is from RNAcentral.
AUACGGAGGGUGCAAGCGUUGUUCGGAAUCACUGGGCGUAAAGGGCGCGCAGGCGGUUUUACAAGUCAGAUGUGAAAGCCCACGGCUCAACCGUGGAAGUGCAUUUGAAACUGUAAGACUUGAGGAUCAGAGGGGAAGGUGGAAUUCCCGGUGUAGAGGUGAAAUUCGUAGAUAUCGGGAGGAAUACCGGUGGCGAAGGCGACUUUCUGGCUGAAUACUGACGCUGAGGCGCGAAAGCGUGGGGAGCAAACAGGAUUAGAUACCCUAGUAGUCC